GACGAACGCUGGCGGCGUGCCUAAUACAUGCAAGUAGAACGCUGAAGGAGGAGCUUUCUUCUCUGGAUGAGUUGCGAACGGGUGAGUAACGCGUAGGUAACCUGCCUGUUAGCGUGGGAUAACUAUUGGAAACGAUAGCUAAUACCGCAUAAGAGUAGAUGUUGCAUGACAUUUGCUUAAAAGGUGCAAUUGCAUCACUACCAGAUGGACCUGCGUUGUAUUAGCUAGGUGGUGUGGUAACGGCUCACCAAGGCGACGAUACAUAGCAGAACUGAGAGGGUGAUCGGCCAGACUGGGACGGAGACCCGGCACAGACUCCUACGGGAGGCAGCAGGAGGGAAUCUUCGGCAAUGGAUGGAAGUCUGAACGAGAAACGCCGAGGGAGUGAAGAAGGUUUUCGGAUCGUAAAGCUCGGUUGUAAGAGAAGAAAGAGUGUGAGAGUGGAAAGUUCACACUGUGACGGUAUCUGACCAGAAAGGGACGGCUAACUACGUG
RNAcentral lists this ribosomal RNA (495 nucleotides) under uncultured bacterium. Its description in RNAcentral is "partial 16S ribosomal RNA". It matches the Rfam family "Bacterial small subunit ribosomal RNA", at positions 28 to 507 of the family's 1533-position model. The record is from RNAcentral.